AAAUGCAGCCAGGGUUAAUUAGAAACGUGUGGAGAUCAGUGGUUCUCCAUUGCCGCUAAGGACAGAACAAGGAGAAAUAGGCUUAUGCUGUAGAAUGAGGGAUUGGGGUCAGACGCACCAAAUAUUCUGACCAAGGAUUUUUAAAUUCUCUCACGUUCAUCUCUUUCUCUGGAAACUUUGAAAAAUGGAUCUAGCUGAAACCCUUGCUCAGAGGUAGGAUAGUCGAGUCAGCCUCUCUAGGUAACAUCCAGCCCAGGAAACCAGUGAAAAGAAAUUUAGCCUAAGCUUUUACUGUACUGAUAGCUAGCUUGACUCCCUCUGGCUGCAAGUUUUGAAAUAGAAGUUUGGGCUUGAUUCAGUUCUCUUUCCAUUCCUAAUCUUGGUAAAGGAUUAAGGAAGCCUUAGCAGGAUGACUUGAGGCUCUGAGAGAAAUACUUAACAGGAGCUGCUGAACUCAAGGGGAAAUAAAGAGCAUGUCUUCCUGUGUGAAGAUGGGAAGACAUCUAGACUGGCACCCCAGCACUAAGCCUACUCAGAGGCAGUGGCCAUAGAGGAGGCCUUCAGCAGCCAACCCGUCUCUAAAACCUACGGCCUGGAGAUCGUCUGCACCCGGCCCGGUGGAUUCCUAAUAGUGAACUGCCAACCCAGUCCGCCCCGAAGCCAUUGAUGAGAGCAGAUCUGGAACUAGUACUGGAGGCGGGUGAUGGGAGAGCAUGGAAGCGUUCACAGGUGCCUUGAGGAGCUGCAGCCAGAGCCGGGUACCAUCACCUAUUGGACAGUUACAGAGGAGACAUUUCCACCGAGCACAGCCUGGUAACCGCACGACGUACACCCCGCCCCCUCGCCCCUGUCUUCCACUCGGAUGCUUGUGAGUGCAGCCACACAAGCACACAAAUCUAAACAGACACCAUUGUGCCAUUCAUCAAAUUGCCG
RNAcentral lists this long non-coding RNA (933 nucleotides) under Ornithorhynchus anatinus (platypus). RNAcentral's name for it is "lncRNA (ENSOANG00000040115.1)". Lineage: Eukaryota; Metazoa; Chordata; Mammalia; Monotremata; Ornithorhynchidae. The record is from RNAcentral.